UUUUAUGGAGAGUUUGAUCCUGGCUCAGAGUGAACGCUGGCGGCGUGCCUAAUACAUGCAAGUCGAACGAUGAAGCUUCUAGCUUGCUAGAAGUGGAUUAGUGGCGCACGGGUGAGUAAGGUAUAGUUAAUCUGCCCUACACAAGAGGACAACAGUUGGAAACGACUGCUAAUACUCUAUACUCCUGCUUAACACAAGUUGAGUAGGGAAAGUUUUUCGGUGUAGGAUGAGACUAUAUAGUAUCAGCUAGUUGGUAAGGUAAUGGCUUACCAAGGCUAUGACGCU
This 285-nucleotide ribosomal RNA is filed under the name Campylobacter coli. RNAcentral describes it as "partial 16S ribosomal RNA". It matches the Rfam family "Bacterial small subunit ribosomal RNA", at positions 1 to 283 of the family's 1533-position model. Lineage: Bacteria; Pseudomonadati; Campylobacterota; Epsilonproteobacteria; Campylobacterales; Campylobacteraceae. The record is from RNAcentral.